This 69-nucleotide transfer RNA is filed under the name Cryptomonas paramaecium. RNAcentral describes it as "Cryptomonas paramecium tRNA". The record is from RNAcentral. Lineage: Eukaryota; Cryptophyceae; Cryptomonadales; Cryptomonadaceae.
UUUGAUUUGGCUUUGGAAUCUGCAUUAUUUUUGUGCAGCUUAUGGUAUGUUAUACUUUUGUGGGGGGAA